GUUUGACAGUGUGUGUUAAAUAAUCCUAAUGGGUUUGAAUGAUUUUGAAAAGAAAAUAUGUUAUAAUUAUGAAAGUUUAAUACAUUUGAUUUGACUAUGUUGUUAGCUAAUAAUUGUAGACGUAUUUUAAGUCUAUGGUUAUAAUUUUAUCAAACAUGAAAUAUUUGUUCGCUAAUUAUGUAAACCAUAUUUUUUUAUAGAAAAUGGUUCAGUUACCUUUUGUGUACGGAAAAUGGCUGGUGAAAGGCUAUUUGUGAGAGUUUGUGUUGAACUUAUGAGAUGUCUUAUUGAAC
RNAcentral lists this long non-coding RNA (293 nucleotides) under Brassica napus (rape). Its description in RNAcentral is "long non-coding RNA (BNAP_LNC020476)". The record is from RNAcentral. Lineage: Eukaryota; Viridiplantae; Streptophyta; Magnoliopsida; Brassicales; Brassicaceae.